This 1200-nucleotide ribosomal RNA is filed under the name Staphylococcus chromogenes. RNAcentral's name for it is "bacterial SSU rRNA". It matches the Rfam family "Bacterial small subunit ribosomal RNA", at positions 32 to 1215 of the family's 1533-position model. The record is from RNAcentral. Lineage: Bacteria; Bacillati; Bacillota; Bacilli; Caryophanales; Staphylococcaceae.
GGAGAUGCCGGUGGCUAUACAUGCAGUCGAGCGACUGACGAGGAGCUUGCUCCUUUGACGUUAGCGGCGGACGGGUGAGUAACACGUGGGUAACCUACCUAUAAGACUGGAAUAACUCCGGGAAACCGGGGCUAAUGCCGGAUAACAUAUCGAACCGCAUGGUUCGAUAGUGAAAGACGGUCUUGCUGUCACUUAUAGAUGGACCCGCGCCGUAUUAGCUAGUUGGUGAGGUAACGGCUCACCAAGGCAACGAUACGUAGCCGACCUGAGAGGGUGAUCGGCCACACUGGAACUGAGACACGGUCCAGACUCCUACGGGAGGCAGCAGUAGGGAAUCUUCCGCAAUGGGCGAAAGCCUGACGGAGCAACGCCGCGUGAGUGAUGAAGGUCUUCGGAUCGUAAAGCUCUGUUGUUAGGGAAGAACAAAUGUGUAAGUAACUGUGCACAUCUUGACGGUACCUAACCAGAAAGCCACGGCUAACUACGUGCCAGCAGCCGCGGUAAUACGUAGGUGGCAAGCGUUAUCCGGAAUUAUUGGGCGUAAAGCGCGCGUAGGCGGUUUUUUAAGUCUGAUGUGAAAGCCCACGGCUCAACCGUGGAGGGUCAUUGGAAACUGGAAAACUUGAGUGCAGAAGAGGAAAGUGGAAUUCCAUGUGUAGCGGUGAAAUGCGCAGAGAUAUGGAGGAACACCAGUGGCGAAGGCGGCUUUCUGGUCUGUAACUGACGCUGAUGUGCGAAAGCGUGGGGAUCAAACAGGAUUAGAUACCCUGGUAGUCCACGCCGUAAACGAUGAGUGCUAAGUGUUAGGGGGUUUCCGCCCCUUAGUGCUGCAGCUAACGCAUUAAGCACUCCGCCUGGGGAGUACGGUCGCAAGACUGAAACUCAAAGGAAUUGACGGGGACCCGCACAAGCGGUGGAGCAUGUGGUUUAAUUCGAAGCAACGCGAAGAACCUUACCAAAUCUUGACAUCUUUUGACCACUCUAGAGAUAGAGUUUUCCUCUUCGGAGGACAAAAUGACAGGUGGUGCAUGGUUGUCGUCAGCUCGUGUCAUGAGAUGUUGGGUUAAGUCCCGCAACGAGCGCAACCCUUGAGCUUAGUUGCCAUCAUUAAGUUGGGCACUCUAAGUUGACUGCCGGUGACAAACCGGAAGAAAGGGGGGGAUGACGUCAAAUCAUCAUGGCCCCUUAAUGAUUUGGGCU